GGGCGCACGGUGGAUGCCUUGGCACUAGGAGCCGAUGAAGGACGGGACGAACACCGAUAUGCUUCGGGGAGCUGUAAGCAAGCUUUGAUCCGGAGAUUUCCGAAUGGGGAAACCCACCACUCGUAAUGGAGUGGUAUCCAUAUCUGAAUUCAUAGGAUAUGAGAAGGCAGACCCGGGGAACUGAAACAUCUAAGUACCCGGAGGAAGAGAAAGCAAAUGCGAUUCCCUGAGUAGCGGCGAGCGAAACGGGAUUAGCCCAAACCAAGAGGCUUGCCUCUUGGGGUUGUAGGACACUCUGUACGGAGUUACAAAGGAACGAGGUAGAUGAAGAGGUCUGGAAAGGCCCGCCAUAGG
This 354-nucleotide ribosomal RNA is filed under the name Enterococcus faecalis. Its description in RNAcentral is "partial 23S ribosomal RNA". It matches the Rfam family "Bacterial large subunit ribosomal RNA", at positions 15 to 361 of the family's 2925-position model. Lineage: Bacteria; Bacillati; Bacillota; Bacilli; Lactobacillales; Enterococcaceae. The record is from RNAcentral.